AGUGAACGCUGGCGGCAGGCCUAACACAUGCAAGUCGAGCGGCAGCGGGUCCCCGCGAGGGGAUGCCGGCGAGCGGCGGACGGGUGAGGAACACAUCGGAAUCUGCCUGGUUGUGGGGAUAACGUAGGGAAACUUACGCUAAUACCGCAUGCGACCCUGAGUCGACGGACUUGGGGUGAAAGUGAGGGACCUUCGGGCCUCACGCGACCAGAUGAGCCGAUGUCGGAUUAGCUAGUUGGCGGGGUAACGGCCCGCCAAGGCGACGAUCCGUAGCUGGUCUGAGAGGAUGGAUCAGCCACACUGGGACUGAGACACGGCCCAGACUCCUACGGGAGGCAGCAGU
Molecule: ribosomal RNA, 343 nt
Filed under: uncultured bacterium
Lineage: Bacteria
Description: bacterial SSU rRNA
Rfam family: Bacterial small subunit ribosomal RNA
Source: RNAcentral